UACGUAGAGAAACUGUGCGAGACAAGGACAAGGGCGAGGCACCGGUCGCCUUCGCUCACACGGACGCCGCGGUGAUCAGAGGCUGCACACGCCCCCGACGCCGGCCGACCAGGAGUUGCCCCACCUCUGCAUCGUCCCUCUCGGCAACAACGCGACUAGGAUGGACAUCUUCCAACCAUGGCUUGUGCGACGGGGAACAUGAUGUUCAUGUCUUGAUUGUUCCUUCUUCCCUGUUGUUUUCCGUGUGAUGCCUUGUUUGUCUCAGCGGCGCAUCCCCUCAUCCUGCGGAACACUGUAUACCCGUUACAACACGCCGCCGCCUCCCUAGCCAGUCCCGCUUCCCCCUUCCCCCUUCCUAUUGAGCCCCUGUGGUGGUGGUGGUGGUGGAUGAAAACAUCUCACCUGGAGGUUGGAGAGGGAUGAAUUGGAGAGGGAGGUGGGAAGACGGGGAGGAGGAUGUAGCCAACGACGGCAAUGCCGUUGCCCACCCCGCCGCCCAGAGUCAUCACGGCAGCACCCUGCCCUCCCUCCCUCCAAGCGUCACUGCUACCAUGGUGUGCUCUCCCUCUCACCGGUGCUUCUACAGCGAGACCCUAGUCGAACGACGGUUGGCAUCGUUUAUUGCAUGGCCUUGCAGAUCUACCACACUGUGCUCACCCUCAUAGUCAUUCGUCAUACCACCUCACGGAAUCGUGAGUUUGGCCGCCACAAGCACGCUCGUGCCACCGCAAGGUCCGUAAUAAGAUUGCUACCAGGGAGUAGAAGGGAAGAUAGGCAGAUCAUGAGGGUCUCCCACUCCUCCAUCCCCAGUGGCAGAUUAGCAGUGGAAUCGGUGUACACAUGAGAACCAAGGCAUCUCUGACUAUAAAAGUUGAUGAGUUGUAGCUGAAAAUUCCGAAUUCCUUCUCAUUUAGAAUCUUCAGCUUACGCUCUUCUAAUUUGCAACAAUUUUCCUCAUCUAAUGACACUCGAUUUUUCUUGCAUGACUAUUGACUAGGCUGAUAACAUGUUCAUGAUGAAAAGACUUAAGAGCGCAGCGGCACUCCAAGCUUCAGAAGUUUUUUUCCUUUCCUUCCAGUUGUUCCAAUGGGAUGUACUUAGAAGGAUCGAGAGUACAGUGUCACAUGCUGGAAGCAAGUCAUUUGGUAAGAACUGAUUCUUAUUAAGCUCGAUUAAUAUAUAUCAAGUUUAGAAGAAUUUAACUUACAUUCAUCUUAUGAUUGUGUCUGCAAGUUUGAUUCUUUAAUUAAUCUAACUAAUGGCAAGAGAAAGUGAUGUGUGCUAGAGGUGAACGGUUUAACGUCUGCUAUUGCCUAUUGACCACUUCAGUUAACAUAGUGUUGCCUGAAAUAAUUAGAAAACAUUCAGCUGUUUGUAACAUGAGUAGAAUGUGGACUGCUAGGAACUGUGAAUUAAACAGAUCAUGGAGAAUGGAUGGCAUUUUCAUGUAACAGGACUGAGUAUCAGUUUUAGCUUGAAAGUAUAUGCCAACUCUGUAGGUUCAAAUGACUUUAAGUAAUAAUAUGAGGAGCGAGCAUAGGAGGAGCUAUAACAUAUGAGCAUGAGGGAGGAUCAAAUGAUUAUAGUGUCUAUCAGCAUGGGUAAAAGAAAACUGACAACAACGCCACCACGUGCAAAAAUUAUAUUUGAUUGAUAUCACAACAAUAGAAUGUUGAAUAACAAUGUAACAUUAUCUUUUCAUUAGUUAAUCCAUUUGACUUCUGUCUGAUACAAUUGGCAUGAUAUUUGGACAGGAAAGUUAUUUGUUAACUUUGUAUCAUUUUUGUGUAAGCUAAUAAAUAAAUGCACUGUGCAUUUGCCUGCAAUUUCCAAGAAGUUUUCCCUAAUUUUGAAGUAAUUGUUUUCUAAAGAAUAAAUGCUGGGAAAAAGGGUCAUUGCAGUAAUUUUUUCCUGAAGUUUUGUCAUCUUGUAAAAUGAUAUGAAUAGAGGGUUCCCCGUUAAAAAAUAGAAUAGGCGCAGUCAAUAGCUGAAGUGGAAGCAUAUAACUGCCAAUUCAAAUUGUUUUCAUUCAGUAUGAUUGUCAUUGAGGAAAUAAACGAGACUAGGAAGUGCCUUCUCCAAUGAAUUCACAUACUUAUGGAUCUUUCUCGCCAAUUAGCAGUGUUUCAAUUAAGUAGGAUUGUUGUCAUGAUAUAUGAAUAUUUUUUUAACAUGUGUAAGGAGGGUAAUGCACGGAUUCCACUUCUUGGGUCAAGAUAAGAACAUGUUGUUUAGUAUGUCUACGUGGAUGGUGUGUUGUUAGAUGUCUACAUCGGUAUGUAGAAGGAAGUUUUGCAAUAACAAGGUAUUAUGUUACAACCUCUGAUUGGCAACGUUCCUCAAAUAUGCUGGUUGUUGUAUCCUUGGACAUAUAAAAGCUUUUUCCAUGAUUUUUCUUUCUGCGGUUUCAUAAACUGAACAAUCUUCACGAUGCACAAAGGACUUUUCAUCUUGAAAUUGUACUUCCAUUGAAACUUUAUCCUGCAACCAUAUAUCAUAAAGAGAAUGGUGGGAGAAUCCAGCUGACAUUCAGUUAGAAAUUGAAAAGGAAAAUAUAGCACCUCAAGGAGCCAGAAUAAAAUAAAUCGGAGAAUUGGAUGAGCCAAAGACAAGCAUAUUCAGAAAUAGAGAGUUUACCGGGAUUCUGGGAGAAAAUCUACAUGGCAUCAUGAGGAAAGAGGAGUUGAAGUACGGCAUGGGAUACUAAAUAGUGUAAAUUGUACUUCUAUUUUCUUCUUCAAUUGGAUCUUUCUCUAUGGACCAAUUUAUAUCGUAUACUGAAAUCAUGUUAUAUUAAGAAGUAUCAUGAUAGAGUUAGCUUGUCCAAUGAAUCGAUAUGUUUAACAAUGGGAAUUGGGAGGAUUAAUUAGUUGAAUUAAUGUUCUUCUUUUAA
Molecule: long non-coding RNA, 2893 nt
Organism: Triticum aestivum (bread wheat)
Lineage: Eukaryota; Viridiplantae; Streptophyta; Magnoliopsida; Poales; Poaceae
Exons: 5
Source: RefSeq, a predicted model, not a curated record